This 567-nucleotide ribosomal RNA is filed under the name uncultured bacterium. RNAcentral's name for it is "bacterial SSU rRNA". It matches the Rfam family "Bacterial small subunit ribosomal RNA", at positions 337 to 914 of the family's 1533-position model. The record is from RNAcentral.
UCCUACGGGAGGCAGCAGUGGGGAAUCUUGGACAAUGGGCGCAAGCCUGAUGCAGCAACGCCGCGUGCGGGAUGACGGCCUUCGGGUUGUAAACCGCUUUCGCCUGUGACGAAGCGUGAGUGACGGUAGUGGGUAAAGAAGCACCGGCUAACUACGUGCCAGCAGCCGCGGUGAUACGUAGGGUGCGAGCGUUGUCCGGAUUUAUUGGGCGUAAAGGGCUCGUAGGUGGUUGAUCGCGUCGGAAGUGUAAUCUUGGGGCUUAACCCUGAGCGUGCUUUCGAUACGGGUUGACUUGAGGAAGGUAGGGGAGAAUGGAAUUCCUGGUGGAGCGGUGGAAUGCGCAGAUAUCAGGAGGAACACCAGUGGCGAAGGCGGUUCUCUGGGCCUUUCCUGACGCUGAGGAGCGAAAGCGUGGGGAGCGAACAGGCUUAGAUACCCUGGUAGUCCACGCUGUAAACGGUGGGUACUAGGUGUGGGGUCCAUUCCACGGGUUCCGCGCCGUAGCUAACGCUUUAAGUACCCCGCCUGGGGAGUACGGCCGCAAGGCUAAAACUCAAAUGAAUUGAC